AUUUUUAGAAACCACAUGGCGGAUUUUCUUGAUUGAUUUGCGGCUUCUCUUUUUGCUGAAAUUAUGGGGGUCAUCACAGCCAUCGAGAUUGCGUCUUAUAAUGGGUGGAGAAAGUUAUGGAUUGAAUGCGAUGAAUAACACAAGAUUAGUGCCCGGAGAUUAGAAACCAUUGGAAAAACUCUUUGUAUUUAGCGAGAUCUAUGUCUUUCAUUCCGAGAGUUUUUGUAAAUGAUAGGAAUGCUAGGCCUAACUUUUGAGUCAGGUAGUUUUUCCUUUGCUCUGCCCAUGGGUCCGGUUUGG
Molecule: long non-coding RNA, 300 nt
Filed under: Glycine max (soybean)
Lineage: Eukaryota; Viridiplantae; Streptophyta; Magnoliopsida; Fabales; Fabaceae
Description: long non-coding RNA (GMAX_LNC004302)
Source: RNAcentral